RNAcentral lists this long non-coding RNA (376 nucleotides) under Homo sapiens (human). RNAcentral describes it as "HSALNT0023745". The record is from RNAcentral. Lineage: Eukaryota; Metazoa; Chordata; Mammalia; Primates; Hominidae.
CUCGGCAGGUUGAGGCAGGAGGUUGCAGUGAGCCGAGAUCGUGCCACUGCACUCCAGCCUGGGUGAUAGAGUGAGACUCUAUCUCAAAAAAAAAAAAAAAAAGGAAAUUUGGACAGUUACAGAGAAAUGACGGAUGCAGGGAGAAGACAGCCAUCAGCAAGUCAAAGAGAGAACCCUCAAAAGGAAUCAUGUCUGCCGACACAUUGAUCUGGGACUUGCCAGGCUCCAGAACGAGGAGAUGACACAGAAACACAUGGAGGGAAGACCAUGAGGAUACGGGGAGAAGGCAGCCAUCUGCAAGCCAAGCAGAGAGGCCUCAGGAGAAACCACCCCUGCUGACGCCUUGUUCUUGGACUUCCAGCCUCUGGAACUGUGA